GCUAGUAAUCGCGGAUCAGAAUGCCGCGGUGAAUACGUUCCCGGGUCUUGUACACACCGCCCGUCACACCAUGGGAGUCGAUAACGCCCGAAGUCAGUGACCCAACCGUAAAGGAGGGAGCUGCCGAAGGCGGGAUGGAUAACUGGGGUGAAGUCGUAACAAGGUACC
RNAcentral lists this ribosomal RNA (168 nucleotides) under uncultured bacterium. RNAcentral describes it as "partial 16S ribosomal RNA". It matches the Rfam family "Bacterial small subunit ribosomal RNA", at positions 1334 to 1500 of the family's 1533-position model. The record is from RNAcentral.